UGGGGAAUCUUGGACAAUGGGGGCAACCCUGAUCCAGCGACGCCGCGUGGGUGGUAAGGCCUUUGGGUUGUAAACCGCUUUUCUCAGGGAAGAAGCUCUGACGGUACCUGAGGAAUCAGCCUCGCCUAACUCCGUGCCAGCAGCCGCGGUAAUACGGAGGAGGCAAGCGUUAUCCGGAAUCAUUGGGCGUAAAGCGUUCGCAGGCGGCGAUUCAAGUCUGCUGUCAAAGCCCGCAGCUCAACUGCGGACAGGCAGUGGAAACUGAAUGGCUAGAGUGCGGCAGGGGUAGAGGGAAUUCCCGGUGUAGCGGUGAAAUGCGUAGAUAUCGGGAAGAACACCAGUGGCGAAAGCGCUCUACUGGGCCGCAACUGACGCUCAGGGACGAAAGCUAGGGGAGCGAAAGGGAUUAGAUACCCGUGUAGUCC
Molecule: ribosomal RNA, 425 nt
Filed under: uncultured prokaryote
Description: bacterial SSU rRNA
Rfam family: Bacterial small subunit ribosomal RNA
Source: RNAcentral